Molecule: ribosomal RNA, 497 nt
Filed under: uncultured bacterium
Lineage: Bacteria
Description: partial 16S ribosomal RNA
Rfam family: Bacterial small subunit ribosomal RNA
Source: RNAcentral
GAUGAACGCUGGCGGCGUGCCUAAUACAUGCAGGUCGAGCGAACGGACGAGAAGCUUGCUUCUCUGAUGUUAGCGGCGGACGGGUGAGUAACACGUGGAUAACCUACCUAUAAGACUGGGAUAACUUCGGGAAACCGGAGCUAAUACCGGAUAAUAUUUUGAACCGCAUGGUUCAAAAGUGAAAGACGGUCUUGCUGUCACUUAUAGAUGGAUCCGCGCUGCAUUAGCUAGUUGGUAAGGUAACGGCUUACCAAGGCAACGAUGCAUAGCCGACCUGAGAGGGUGAUCGGCCACACUGGAACUGAGACACGGUCCGGACUCCUACGGGAGGCAGCAGUAGGGAAUCUUCCGCAAUGGGCGAAAGCCUGACGGAGCAACGCCGCGUGAGUGAUGAAGGUCUUCGGAUCGUAAAACUCUGUUAUUAGGGAAGAACAUAUGUGUAAGUAACUGUGCACAUCUUGACGGUACCUAAUCAGAAAGCCACGGCUAACUACGUG